UCCUUAGAUGUUCUGGGCCGCACGCGCGCUACACUGAUGCAUUCAACGAGUUUCUUCCUGGUCCGAGAGGAAUGGGUAACCUUUUGAAAGUGCAUCGUGAUAGGGAUAGACUAUUGCAAUUAUUGGUCUUCAACGAGGAAUUCCUAGUAGACGUAGUUCAUCAGACUGCAUCGAUUACGUCCCUGCCCUUUGUACACACCGCCCGUCGCUCCUACCGAUUGAAUGCUCCGAUGAAUAUCAUGGAUUGAGGAUGCAAGCAGGUUCGCCUGUCUUCAUCUUCGAGAAGUGAAGUAAAUCUUAUCAUUUAGAGGAAGGAGAAGUCGUAACA
Molecule: ribosomal RNA, 328 nt
Filed under: uncultured eukaryote
Lineage: Eukaryota
Description: partial 18S ribosomal RNA
Rfam family: Eukaryotic small subunit ribosomal RNA
Source: RNAcentral